This 255-nucleotide ribosomal RNA is filed under the name uncultured bacterium. Its description in RNAcentral is "partial 16S ribosomal RNA". It matches the Rfam family "Bacterial small subunit ribosomal RNA", at positions 524 to 776 of the family's 1533-position model. The record is from RNAcentral.
UACGUAGGGUGCAAGCGUUAAUCGGAAUUACUGGGCGUAAAGCGUGCGCAGGCGGUUAUGUAAGACAGAUGUGAAAUGCCCGGGCUUAACCUGGGGAACUGCAUUUGUGACUGCAUGGCUAGAAUCUGGCAGAGGGGGGUAGAAUUCCACGUGUAGCAGUGAAAUGCGUAGAUAUGUGGAGGAACACCGAUGGCGAAGGCAGCCCCCUGGGUCAAGAUUGACGCUCGAUGCACGAAAGCGUGGGGAGCAAACAGG